GGGCGGUUAGCUCAGCCGGUUAGAGCACUUCCUUUACACGGAAGGGGUCAGGGGUUCGACUCCUCUACCGCCCACCA
This 77-nucleotide transfer RNA is filed under the name Candidatus Omnitrophota bacterium. RNAcentral's name for it is "tRNA-Val". It matches the Rfam family "tRNA". From Rfam's summary of the family: Transfer RNA (tRNA) molecules are approximately 80 nucleotides in length. Their secondary structure includes four short double-helical elements and three loops (D, anti-codon, and T loops). Further hydrogen bonds mediate the characteristic L-shaped molecular structure. tRNAs have two regions of fundamental functional importance: the anti-codon, which is responsible for specific mRNA codon recognition, and the 3' end, to which the tRNAs corresponding amino acid is attached (by aminoacyl-tRNA synthetases). tRNAs cope with the degeneracy of the genetic code in two manners: having more than one tRNA (with a specific anti-codon) for a particular amino acid; and 'wobble' base-pairing, i.e. permitting non-standard base-pairing at the 3rd anti-codon position. Lineage: Bacteria; Pseudomonadati; Candidatus Omnitrophota. The record is from RNAcentral.